This 450-nucleotide ribosomal RNA is filed under the name uncultured bacterium. RNAcentral's name for it is "bacterial SSU rRNA". It matches the Rfam family "Bacterial small subunit ribosomal RNA", at positions 354 to 796 of the family's 1533-position model. The record is from RNAcentral.
GUCGAGAAUCUUCCGCAAUGGGCGAAAGCCUGACGGAGCGACGCCGCGUGGAGGACGAAGGCCUUCGGGUUGUAAACUCCUGUCACGAGUUAAGAAGGCGCAUGUGCGAACAGCAUAGGCGUUUGACGUAAGCUCGAGAGGAAGCACUGGCUAACUCUGUGCCAGCAGCCGCGGUAAUACAGAGAGUGCAAACGUUGUUCGGAAUUACUGGGCUUAAAGCGCGCGUAGGCGGCACUGUAAGUGUCUGGUGAAAUCCCACGGCUCACCCGUGGAACUGCCGGGCAUACUGCGGUGCUAGAGUGUGGUAGGGGAGAGCGGAACUCCUGGUGGAGCGGUGAAAUGCGUAGAUAUCAGGAGGAACACCGGUGGCGAAGGCGGCUCUCUGGUCCAUAACUGACGCUGAGGUGCGAAAGCUAGGGGAGCAAACGGGAUUAGAAACCCUUGUAGUCC